AAGUCGUAACAAGGUUUCCGUAGGUGAACCUGCGGAAGGAUCAUUAACACGUUCCAAAACGUAUCAACCAAACGGUUAAGUGCAAACUUAUUCCCUGAUAAGAAAAGCUGUUCAACAUUUUUUAGUGAUAGGUAAAUCUUCGAUUUACAAAGAAUGUUGACUAGGGUCUCGAGCCCAGUGUUUUUCUUAUUAGGCUUUUCCCCCCUUUUUUCUAUCACUUCCAACACACUAUUUUCACCCCUUUGAAACUUAUGACUAAAUCUUUCGAACGAAGAAAUUUGUUUGGAAUUGUAUAUCUAACACUGUACAACUCUUAGCAAUGGAUAUCUUGGUUCUC
RNAcentral lists this unclassified non-coding RNA (337 nucleotides) under fungal sp. Its description in RNAcentral is "partial internal transcribed spacer region". The stretch from base 1 to 46 matches the Rfam family "Eukaryotic small subunit ribosomal RNA", at positions 1786 to 1831 of the family's 1831-position model. Lineage: Eukaryota; Fungi. The record is from RNAcentral.